CCCUGCUCCCCCUCUUCUCCCUCUCCUCCCAGCCUACUAAACUAACCCUGCUCCCCCUCUUCUCCCUCUCCUCCCAACCUACUAAACUAACCCUGCUCCCCCUCUUCUCCCUCUCCUCCCAGCCUACUAAACUAACCCUGCUCCCCCUCUUCUUGUGUCCCAUUGGAUUCUGUUUCUAGCUACUGUGUAUCUAGCCAUGUUUCUCUCCCGGCACAUCUCUUCCCUUCUUCCGUCUAUCCCUCUCUCUUUCUUCCCUUGAUUUUUGCCGGCCACAUAGUCCAGUAUUUUAUUUAGUUAAGGAUAUUAACUCUGUAUGUCAUGCAGGCAGAAAUGUCGAUACAGACCACCAAACACUUGAAACAAACCACUGACAUAGAUGUAAUAGGACAUGGACCUAAUGGAGAAAUGAUUGUUUGGUUGUCAUGACAACCUUUGUCCUUUUCUUUUAAUAACAUGGGGUAUGCUAUAUUUUCUUUUUCCUGUUAGAUUUUUUUUUUUUUUUUUUAUCUAUAAAAAGAUUAGGAGAUGCUGCUGAAAGCAUCUGAUUGGUUCGCGGGUUGUCUCCUGCCGUGGUAGGUUGGUAAUGUAAUUUCCCUUUGGCUGCAUAGACCCGCCCCUUACCCUCCUGGUGAUUGGCGGGUUGUGGUGAGAGGCAGCCUAACGAGCGUUUUUACGAGCCAAUCAGGAAGCUUGUCUGCGUUUUUGUAUUGAUGCAUCAAAAUGAAUAAAGACAAUGUUUUCAGUAUGAACCCUAACCCUGCACUCCUCACAUGGUCUGUCAAACAUACACUACCGGUCAAAAGUUUUAGAACACCUACUCAUUCAAGUGUUUUUUCUUUAUGUUUUACUAUUUUCUAUAUUGUAGAAUAAUUGUGAAGACCUCAACUAUGAAGUAACACAUGGAAUCCUGUAGUAACCAAAAAAGUGUUAAACAAAUCAAAAUAUUAAUUUUGAGAUUCUUCAAAUAGCCACCCUUUGCCUUAAUGACAGCUUUGCACACUCUUGGCAUUAUCUCAACGAGCUUCAUGAGGUAGUCACCUGCAAUGCAUUUUAAUUAAUAGGUGUGCCUUCUUAAGAGUUCAUUUGUAGAAUUUAUUUUCUUCAUAAUAUGUUUGAGCCAAUCAGUUGUGUUGUGACAAGGUAGGGUUGGUAUACAGAAUAUAGCCCUAUUUGGUAAAAGACCAAGUCCAUAUUAUGGCAAGAACAGCUCAAAUAAGCAAAGAUAAACAACAGUCCAUCAUUACUUUAAGACAUGGAGGUCAGUCAAUCCAGAAAAUGUCAAGAACAUUCUUAAAGUGCAGUCACAAAAACCAUCAGAGCUAUGAUGCAACUGGAUCCCAUGAGGACCGCCACAGGAAAGGAAGACCCAGAGUUACCUCUGCUGCAGAGGAUAAGUUCCAUUAGAGUUACCAGCCUCAGAAAUUGCAGCCCAAAUAAAUGCUUCACAGAGUUCAAGUAACAUACAUCUCAACAUCAACUGUUCAGAGGAGACUGAAUCAGGCAUUCAUGGUCAAAUUGCUGCAAAGAAACCACUACUAAAGGACACCAAUAAGAAGAAGAGACUUGCUUGGGCCAAGAAACACGAGCAAUCGGCAUUUAUAUCGGUGGAAAUGUGUCCUUUGGUCUGGAGUCCACCGUGUCUUUGUGAGACGCGGUGUGGGUGAAUGGAUGAUCUCUGCAUGUGUAUUUCCCACCGUAAAGCAUGGAGGAGGAGGUGUUAUGGUGUGGGGGUGCUUUGCUGGUGACACUGUGAUUUAUUUAGAAUUCAAGGCACACUUAACCAGUGUGGCUACCACAGCGUUCUGCAGCGAUACGCAAUCCCAUCUGGUUAGGGCUUAGUGGGACUAUUAUUUAUUUUUCAACAGGACAAUGACCCAGCACACCUCCAGGUUGUGUAAGGGCUAUUUUUACCAAGAAGGAGAGUGAUGGAGUGCUGCAUCAGAUGACCCGGCCUCCACAAUCACCCAACCUCAACCAAAUUGAGAUGGGAGUGAACGAAAAUCAGCCAUCAAGUGCUCAGCAUAUGUGGGAACUCCUGCAAGACUGUUGGAAAAGCAUUCCAGAUGAAGCUGGUUGAGAGAAUGCCAAUAGUUUGCAAAGCUGUUAUCAAGGCAAAGGUUGGCUAUUCGAAGAAUCUCAAAUAUAAAAUAUAUUUUGAUUUGUUUAAUACUUUUUACAUGAUUCCAUAUGUGUUAUUUCAUAGUUCUGAUAUUUUCACUGUUCUACAACGUAGAAAAUAGUAAAAAAUUAAGAGAACCCCUUGAAUGUGUAGGCAUUCUAAAACUUUUGACCGGUAGUGUGUUCACACACACCUCUGAUAGUACACACACAUGCUUAUGAGUCUCUGGUAUUGAGAGAAAUGUUUGCUAUUGAAUAUGAAGAGCUCUCUCCUUAUACUCCAUCUUAAUAUGUGGUGAAUGAUACCAAUGUAAUGAUGGGAAUGAUUGAAACCCCAACAACACAGACUGGUGAGAUUUACUCUUGUCUACUUAUGUCCAAAGCCUGCUGGUUUGUUAGUGUUGCCGUCAGUGUACAAACAGAGACAAACUGUAGGUUUUAAACAGACAUUCAGACGGGGUAUGUGGAUAGAACUCAACUGUCAUGUAUCUCUUUGGAAGACCAGAGAGUGAACUGCUAGACUUUGUUCCUGUGUUCUAACCACGGAAUAAAAGAUUAGUACUACCGGUAACCUUGGUAACUGAUACCAUGACGACGGCAGAAGUAAACUGAACUAGAUUGUAAGAGAUGGCAGUAUGUUAGGGAGGAACUAGGUUUUAGGCUUGAGCUUUUUGCUUUGCUGUGACAACUUUUUCCCAUGUGAAGAUGUCCAAAGAGUGGAUAUCUGUGAUCACUAUGGAGAUGGUUCCACCUAGCCCCUCAAGAUGAGAUGUGGAGCGCUAAUCUGCCAUAUUGCUUUCAUCUAUCCAGACCUGUGCAGAUCUGUGAACUCUAAUGGGCUAGUACUAGGUCCUAAGGGAAGGAGGCUACUGACUAAAAUGUCAGUUAUGUGAACACAUUAGACCUUUGUCUCAGCCACAGAUCAUCAUCAUAAUAAGGAUUAACAUCAGUGGUGAAAGGCCAUGUGUAUUAGUGCUUUCAAGACAACAAUAACAAAAGCGAGGUGAAAUGACGUCUGUGAUCUUCAGGUCGGAAAGUCUGAGCUCUAGAAAGAUUGCCAGAGUUUCUGACUUGGAAUUCCCAGUUAAAUUAUCUUUCAAAGCUCGUUUUUUCCAGAUGGAGCUCGUUUUUUCUUCAGAAUUUCCAGUUGACUGAAGUGUGAAGUCUGAGAUUUCCGAGUUCCCCAGGUUUCUUUUUUUUUACACUGCCUGGUGUCACUCAAACACAUCACAGUGUUGUAUUCUGGGAAAUGUGUUUUUGCAGUUGUGACUAUUUGCUCUAUCGGUAUACAGUCACAUGGGUUUCUGAUAUACAGUUUUGGUCUUUAUGUUCUUGAGUGUUCUUAAGGGUUCUAGGGUUACUCCUGGGCUAAAAACCAUAUUCAAUGUAGAAUCUCAUUUAAAAAUGCUCAGGCUGAUUAUUGCAAAUAAGGAUUAAUCAACCUGAAUCAACCUGCCUGGUAAACGAUGGUUUACUUCAGGAGUAUAGGUUUUAUUUAGGGCUUGGAAACUAAUUGGUUGACUUGUGGGUUUGUAUUUUCUAUUUGCAAUAUUAGAUGUUGUACCUUCAGUAAGCCUGUGGUAGUUGGCAGUGGGAGAAGAUGACUUGGGGAUAGAUGAAGGGAUAGGGAAAGGUUUAGCCUUUGUUAUUACACUGCUGAUCCC
RNAcentral lists this long non-coding RNA (3782 nucleotides) under Salmo salar (Atlantic salmon). RNAcentral's name for it is "lncRNA (ENSSSAG00000086912.1, ENSSSAG00020043144.1)". Lineage: Eukaryota; Metazoa; Chordata; Actinopteri; Salmoniformes; Salmonidae. The record is from RNAcentral.